GAUGAACGCUGGCGGCGUGCCUAAUACAUGCAAGUCGAGCGAACAGACGAGGAGCUUGCUCCUCUGACGUUAGCGGCGGACGGGUGAGUAACACGUGGAUAACCUACCUAUAAGACUGGGAUAACUUCGGGAAACCGGAGCUAAUACCGGAUAAUAUAUUGAACCGCAUGGUUCAAUAGUGAAAGACGGUUUUGCUGUCACUUAUAGAUGGAUCCGCGCCGCAUUAGCUAGUUGGUAAGGUAACGGCUUACCAAGGCAACGAUGCGUAGCCGACCUGAGAGGGUGAUCGGCCACACUGGAACUGAGGCACGGUCCAGACUCCUACGGGAGGCAGCAGUAGGGAAUCUUCCGCAAUGGGCGAAAGCCUGACGGAGCAACGCCGCGUGGGUGGUGAAGGUCUUCGGAUCGUAAAACUCUGUUAUUAGGGGAGAACAAAUGUGGAAGUAACUAUGCACGUCUUGACGGUACCUAAUCAGAAAGCCACGGCUAACUACGUG
Molecule: ribosomal RNA, 497 nt
Filed under: uncultured bacterium
Lineage: Bacteria
Description: partial 16S ribosomal RNA
Rfam family: Bacterial small subunit ribosomal RNA
Source: RNAcentral